Molecule: ribosomal RNA, 253 nt
Filed under: uncultured bacterium
Lineage: Bacteria
Description: partial 16S ribosomal RNA
Rfam family: Bacterial small subunit ribosomal RNA
Source: RNAcentral
GACAGAGGAUGCAAGCGUUAUCCGGAAUGAUUGGGCGUAAAGCGUCUGUAGGUGGCUUUUUAAGUCUGCCGUCAAAUCCCAGGGCCUAACCCUGGACAGGCGGUGGAAACUACCAAGCUGGAGUACGGUAGGGGCAGGGGGAAUUUCCGGUGGAGCGGUGAAAUGCGUAGAGAUCGGAAAGAACACCAACGGCGAAAGCACUCUGCUGGGCCGACACUGACACUGAGAGACGAAAGCUAGGGGAGCGAAUGGG